This 497-nucleotide ribosomal RNA is filed under the name uncultured bacterium. RNAcentral describes it as "partial 16S ribosomal RNA". It matches the Rfam family "Bacterial small subunit ribosomal RNA", at positions 28 to 507 of the family's 1533-position model. The record is from RNAcentral.
GACGAACGCUGGCGGCGUGCCUAAUACAUGCAAGUUGAGCGAUGAAGAUUGGUGCUUGCACCAAUUUGAAGAGCAGCGCACGGGUGAGUAACGCGUGGGGAAUCUGCCUUUGAGCGGGGGACAACAUUUGGAAACGAAUGCUAAUACCGCAUAACAACUUUAAACAUAAGUUUUAAGUUUGAAAGAUGCAAUUGCAUCACUCAAAGAUGAUCCCGCGUUGUAUUAGCUAGUUGGUGAGGUAAAGGCUCACCAAGGCGAUGAUACAUAGCCGACCUGAGAGGGUGAUCGGCCACAUUGGGACUGGGACACGGCCCAAACUCCUUCGGGAGGCAGCAGUAGGGAAUCUUCGGCAAUGGACGAAAGUCUGACCGAGCAACGCCGCGUGAGUGAAGAAGGUUUUCGGAUCGUAAAACUCUGUUGGUAGAGAAGAACGUUGGUGAGAGUGGAAAGCUCAUCAAGUGACGGUAACUACCCAGAAAGGGACGGCUAACUACGUG